CUUUAUUCUGUUGCUUUGCUUCUCAAAAUUCUCUCCAUCUCCCAACUGCUCCCAGUCUUAUCCAGUUCUUUCUACUCUCUUUCGGUAGGUAGCCCUGUUUGGCUUUUCAUCAUUAAGAUCAUUGAUUCUUUUUCUCAAUCAUGUUUCCCACUCACUUCCAGCUUCACCAUAUCUUACCUUAUCUUAGUCAUCUGUCAGGAGCUAUGAGUUUUCAUGUUGUCUCCUUGUGGCAUUUGUUUCUUCAGAUCUGUGUCCCUUUUCUUUGGUUAUCGUAAAUGCAUGAUACCAGCUUAUAGUCUUUUUCUUUGGUACUUUUUUGUUUGUUUCUAGGGAAUAGUUGAGAAGGAAACUAAACUAUAUUCUAGUUUAGUUGUCUCCAACUUGAUAUGAGUAGCUAGAGAUGCACCCCAACUCCAUAUCUAGAUUUAGAAGAAAGAGCAUAUCAUGAAUUCUGUAUUCAUUAUUAGAUAUUAUUUCAGCUGAUUUUUGGUUAUAAAAAAUAAGUUAGAAUCACCUUUCAAAGAUUAAGAUGAGCUGCUGUGUGUCUAUAUUUAAAAUGAUGUUUUAGCUUCUGAAGAUAACAAAACUUGGGAGUUCAUAACCCACUUGAAUCAAAGUGUGAAAUAUGAUAUGUCAAGAACUAUGUAAUGUUUUGAACAACCAACAAUAAAAA
Molecule: long non-coding RNA, 673 nt
Filed under: Marmota monax (woodchuck)
Lineage: Eukaryota; Metazoa; Chordata; Mammalia; Rodentia; Sciuridae
Source: RNAcentral